GUGGGCGUAGCUCAAGUGGUAGAGUGUGUGCUUGGUGUGCAGGAGGUCCUGGGUUCAAUCCCCAGUACCUCCU
Molecule: transfer RNA, 73 nt
Filed under: Camelus dromedarius (Arabian camel)
Lineage: Eukaryota; Metazoa; Chordata; Mammalia; Artiodactyla; Camelidae
Also listed under: 1 other name
Rfam family: tRNA
About the family: Transfer RNA (tRNA) molecules are approximately 80 nucleotides in length. Their secondary structure includes four short double-helical elements and three loops (D, anti-codon, and T loops). Further hydrogen bonds mediate the characteristic L-shaped molecular structure. tRNAs have two regions of fundamental functional importance: the anti-codon, which is responsible for specific mRNA codon recognition, and the 3' end, to which the tRNAs corresponding amino acid is attached (by aminoacyl-tRNA synthetases). tRNAs cope with the degeneracy of the genetic code in two manners: having more than one tRNA (with a specific anti-codon) for a particular amino acid; and 'wobble' base-pairing, i.e. permitting non-standard base-pairing at the 3rd anti-codon position.
Source: Rfam by way of RNAcentral